This is a long non-coding RNA of Rhipicephalus microplus (southern cattle tick), 995 nucleotides long. Lineage: Eukaryota; Metazoa; Arthropoda; Arachnida; Ixodida; Ixodidae. The record is from RefSeq and is a predicted model, not a curated record.
ACAUGGACCUCUAACGUUUUUGUUUCCAUCGAAAGUGCGGCCGCCGCGGUUGGAAUUCGAUCCCGCGACCUGCGCUUUAGGAAAGAUUUGUGAAGCUGGUUGUGCACAGCAAACGCCGUUUUUGUAAUAGGGAAGAAUUAUCGUCUGUUUCAAUUGGGUGCCCUAAUCAACGUUACCAAGAUACAAUUCAGGUUGUACUUACGCGUCAGUAAAGCUGCCACUCGGUCUGGCAUGGCACCGUUGAGGACGCAAUCACUCCCCCGAAGCAGAUGUCCCUGCAGCUGUGCACGGAAAACAAGCAGCAGGUGGUGCGCUAUUCUCCACGACCACCGCAUGCCUCUAAGAGGGUCGUUGACACGGCCUACCGAAUUCCCAGCUACGAACAUGCCACUGGUAUUAGGCCUUUCGAGGUUCUCGAUUGCCACCAGUGCGAGAUCUGCGGCUCAUAUACCACUGGGGAAUUUUGUCUCAUUUUGAAGACUGGUUGUGUGGAGUCCAAUUGGUGGGCAAAGCCUUCGGAUUUCACCUGGCUUCUCAGCCACAUCCUGUGUUUGGAGAGAGCUGACAAGCGACAUGCUGCAAACAACACACAAAUUUCUCUAAUCCUUGUACUUACAGCUCCACCUGGCUGCACGUGGCUUGAAACUGCUUCUCCGCGAUACGAAAACCAACAAUUGUGCAGCAGUUGCAUUUCACCCCAUAAACCUUUUAGACUCAACAAUUCAAAUUGGGUCACGAAAUUUGCAACAGUUUGUUUUUCUAGUCAAAGCAAAACCAAAACACAACAAUAAAGAAAGCCGCCACUGCGUUCAAAAGCCCACAAAGACAAAGGCUAGGCACAUUUGUGUACUAGCCAUCAUUCCCACCAUACCACUUUCGAAUUCGUUAUAGAUAAGUUCGACUGUAUAAGUAUUCCUGUUUGCAGAUGGUACAAAAUGAAAAAAAAAAUCAACAGAAACAGUACUAAUAAAGAGCCAUCUACCAAUUUCUACAAA